This is a long non-coding RNA of Oreochromis niloticus (Nile tilapia), 7007 nucleotides long. RefSeq lists it as uncharacterized. Lineage: Eukaryota; Metazoa; Chordata; Actinopteri; Cichliformes; Cichlidae. The record is from RefSeq and is a predicted model, not a curated record. The transcript is spliced from 3 exons.
UCUUGUUGUUAGUUUCCAUGCUGUCAGAUGCAUUUUGAAAAAAAUAAUGCCCUGAAUUAGUGAAAGUAAUACAGCUAAAGAAGAAUAUGUAAAUAUAGAAAACUCAAAGAUUAACAGCAGGAAAAAUGAAGCCAUGCAGGGGCUGAAAAUUACAUAUCAAAGGGGAGAAAUAUUUGAGUUUGGUGUGAAAUAUGCAGAUGGCUCAGCAGGAGUCUUUGGCGAAGGUUUGCUAUGAAACAUAAACGUGUGCGCGCUUGUUAGUGAUGUGUAUAUUAUAUGUAUCACGGAUGCACAACAGAGACAAUGUGAAAGUCUGGAAAGAGCAGCGACCCACAUAAACAUUUUUUACUUUAAAACAACAGGUGAGCCAUCUGGAUCCUGUUAAGUCCAAAUAUUAGGUUCAUGGCCUUGUUGACUGACAUGUGGCUUGUAGUCUUCUGCUAGGCUGCACAUCCACUAAUUUGAGUCACUGACCUGAUCUUCACAAGAAUGUUAAAGUUAUUGGUUGCUUUUGGAGCACGUUCCCACUGAGCAUUCAUGUAUGCGCCAGAACAAGCUUGACCAAUAAAGGUUCCGCCUCACAAUCCACAGGCUCUAAAUGAUCCACCACCAAAGUUCCAGUGCCAGACACCACAAGACAUCACCAGUGAUCUCAUUCCAUGCCAUUCCUUCUUUUAAUGUUAUGGAUGUGAGUAAAGAUGGGGGUUUACCACAUGCAAGAAUAAAAAAAAAAAAAAUUAAAAGCCCAACAACUUUAUUUUGCAGCAUUGCAAAAUAAAGUUAAAAAAAUGAAUUUUUUUUUUUUUUUUUUUACUGUGCACAAUUUCAGUUCCCACAUUUAAUUUUUUCUGGGUUCGGACUUUCCUUUUAGUAUAGUAGUGAAUCAGGCCUUGAGGCUGUUAUCAUACAAUCUUCUAACUAAUCUUAUGUGCAUACAUUUCAAAAUGAAACACUGGUAAAAGCUGGGCUAGAGGCUACAUCAUAUCAGGGUUACAUUCGUCAUUCAGAAAUAGCCUAAGCAAAAGAAACAUAACUCUGUAUGUGGCUGCCCUGGAAUAAUACAUAAACUCUCCUCAGCAGUGUGAAGCAUCUUCUCAGCAACUGUGAGAUCAGACAAAGCCAAAAAUAACAAGCUUUUAAAAUCUAAAAAAAGCUGCUGCUGAGUGCACAUACAUAUCUUCAGAGGACAAAUGCAGGUGUUUUGGUGCCCUCACUGAUGACCUUGUUUGCUGUUGAACGUGUGCUUUAGAUUGCUAAGAUCUCUGGAGAAGUCAGCCAACUGGCUCAUCAAUGAAGAAGUCAAUGUGAAGCACUUUGGGCUCCCUUAACAAAAAGUCUCUACAUGUGCACAGUCAAUUACUACAUGGUCAAUAUCCACUAUCGUCCAGCACGCCUGUAAUCAAUAGACUGUGGUGUUGAGAUCAAUAGUGAGAAGACAGACAAUCUGACUGUAUUCUAAGGCGAGAAUAGGAAGAUUAUGUCUAGUGGGCCAGCCAACAGAGUGAAAACACACUGCUCUUGAUUCUUCAGUCCCUGCUAGGAUGCCGUAUAACUUACUUCCUUUUCUGUGUCAACAACCUCAGGAUGAGGGAAUGAGUUGCAACAUAUGGGAAAUCAGUCAUGAGAGGUGCUUUUAGAAAAACAGCAUAAAGGUGAAUCUUGACUAGCGACACUAAAUAUUGCAGAUAACCUACACAUAGUGAAGCUAUUUUACUCACAGCUGAAGUGUCUGAAACCCACUUUAUUCCUUUCUAUUGAGUGUAUUGUUUGUUUAUUUAUUCAUGUUUAUUUAUUCACAAAGUGAUUGACAGUAACAGUCAGAAUUCUUAAUCAUAAAAACUAAGGGAAAAUCACUGGGGGUGGGCAAACAGUUCCCAUUUGUUGAUAAAAACAAUGUUGUCCUCCCUACGCCAUCAUUGCAUAAAAUAAAAUUCCCAGUGUGUCCUGCUGGCAGUCUUUAUCUUUCAAGCUCAAGUCCUCAACCAGAGACCUGAGAGCUUGAAGGUCAUUGCUGUUCCUAGAACUGCACUCUUCUGGACAGAGAUCUCGGAUGUCAUUCCUGGGUUCUGUCACUACCCUAAGUGCCCCAUCUACCUUCUCAUUGCCUUCUCAAUCCAUAUCUUCUGUAGCUCUUCUCUAAGCUGUUGGUGUUUCUCUAGUUUAUCAUGUUCCUUUUUCCUGAUUUUGCUAUCACUGGGUAUAGCUACGUCUAUCACUACGGCUAUCUUCCUCUGCUUGUUCACCACUACUAUGUCAGGUUGAUUAAGCAUCACCAUUUUGUCUGUCUUUAUCUGGAAAUCCCACAGGAUCUCAGCUCGCUCAUUCUUAACCACCCCGUGGGGCAUAUCCUAUUUUGAUCUCAGGACUUCCAUACUUGGCACAGAUGUUCCUGUAUACUGUGUCGGUCACUUAGUUAUGGCUUUCCAUGUUUGCCCUGUCUGGUAGCAUCUUGCACCUUGCUGUAAUGUGCUGGAUUGUCUUAGAGGCAUCUUUGCACAGCCUGCACUUGGAGUCUUACGUGGUGUGAUAGACCCCAACCUAUAUGAAUCUUGUGCUUAGAGCUUGUUCCUAUGCUGCCAUGAUUAGUGUCUCUAUGCUGUCUUUAAGUCCAGCUUUGUCCAGCCACUAGUAGGAUGUUUUUUGUUAUUAGCUACUUCUUACAUACUUCUGUUGGUGGUACAUGCCUUGUAGGUGCCUGUCAAUCCAUCAUUCAUUGGCCAUAGUCCCGAUGGCCAUACUACUCUACUCUUUUGCCUCCUUCCUUCUGUUCUCAGGGUUUUGGACUUGAGGUGAAACCGUUUAUCGGGAGCUUUCCUGUUUCUCUUGUCUUGAUGUCAGUGGCUUCUGUCUCCUCCUUUGGACAGCUGAUUAUCCCAGCAGGGUAUCUGAUGACCCUGCCGUGCCCUGAUCUUGUUCUGCUGACUCCUCAGGACAUUCCUGUCACUCUGCAGCUAUUUGGUGGUUGCGGCUCUCCUACCAGCUUCUUCAUGGUUCCCAUUUGCCUGUGGGAUUCCAGGUUACUUGUAGGGAUCCCUAAUGUCUGCAACCUUGUUGUAGUGCAAUCCCCUUAGUUGUGAUGUUUGCUACAUUCUGUAGUUGGUUAUCAUAGUCAGUGGGGUUCAGGCCUAUGCAGAACAGAAACAGAAGCAGAACAAAAAGCAAGUCAGUCCCUAUAGACGCUCAUGUUAAAAUGUUCAACAUGACUACAGAUAGGUGCAAAAAGUGAUUUUGUCCUCUAUAGAUAGAGACCCCCCCCUUAGCAAUAAUUAGCAGAUAUCUGUACAUUUUGCUGGUACAUUCUGCAGUUGUAGCUAGCUAACCAAGCUUGGUAGCAUUAGCUGAUAGCUUAGCACUCCACCAUCUCCCAUUAUGGUGACUUCUGUCUCCAAGAAAUCAACAUAGCAGCGAGUACAAUGCUAAAGCCAGCGCUUCUAAAUACAGACCCUAAAAGCAAUGACUGAUGUCACUGUGGCCACAUUCAUGCUUUAUGUAGCCUACUCUGCAAUAAAACACUCUGAGAUACACCCCCUUCUAUGUUGUGUUAUAUUAUUUAACCAGUCCAAGCUUUAAAUCUGUUUUAAGUUGUUUUGGAGCAGAAAAUGCAGAAUUAUUUUCUAUCGUCACAUGUCGACUGGCUCAUUGAAAGUGUCUCAUCUUUCCUGUUUAGCAUCUCCUCCGUUGAAAUGAAGUGAUACCGCAGUCAGGCAGGGCAUACACUGGCUCCAUUUCUCCUCUCUCCUGAAGUAAGUGACAGCUGCAGAUUUUUUGGACCAUCCCUCCCUCCAGGAUGCCUGACAGUCCUCUGUUGUCAUGGCAACAGAGGCAGUGAGGCUAGCAGUUGUGACUGAUAUGCUGCUGAGGUGUUUCCCAAUCUGACACCCUGGCUCCCUCUCCCAGUCCUUUUGCCUCCCGUGUGUUGCUGUCUCCCUCUCCCUCCCUCUCUUUUCCUGUCUGAUGUUCUUUCAGGUAGUUUGAGCUGAUGAGUGCAGCCGAUGUGUUUGUGUCCGUAUCCAUCUGCACAGGGGUGACACAGUGCCCUGCCCUGCUGGCUCAUUGUGCUUGUUGACAUUUCUCAAAAUUGAGGAUGUAACAUGAAGGACAUGGCUGUGAGAACGAAGCUUCAGUAGUGACCAAACUACUCAAACCUUGAGGCCGACCACCGAAGAAAAAAAAGAAAAAGGAAACACAAAAGCACACAGGUGGUGUGGGUAGAUGUAGGCAUGCAGCAGAAGCUAUGCUUCUAAAGGUAAAUCCAUAAAUUUGCUAUUAACUUUGAAAAUGUCAGAGCAAACCCAGCGUUGCCUCAAACCAGGUGAGGCAGAGAUUGCUGCCUGCUGCUCUGGUAAUCACAGCCAGGUGAUUUCCUGGUCGUGGGGCCCUGAUGUCUGUCUGUGUGUGUGCGAUUGGAGCCAGUUGGCAGGGAGGCACAGGGACAGAUAAGGUGUCUCUUAAGUAAAUUCAUGAAUAGGAGCUCUUCACCAGGGCUGAGGUGGCUACUGCUGCUGCUUCAGCGUUGUUUGCAUUCAUGAAUAAAAACCUGCUUGCUGCCAUUCAUACAAAUACAAUUAACUCCAUGCUUCUCAUGUGCUAGACAGAAAUAGACGAACACAGAAGCCUGCUCUCAUACAUAAACGCUGGCAUUUAUACAACCGCUGAAGGACCUUGUGAGCACCAUCAUCCGCAUAAUCUCCCUGCAAUCCUAAGUGAUUUUAUUCUUCCAUCUUUACAUAAUAGGAACCUACUUAAAUUGUAAUAAAAAAGCAUCUAAAGAUCUCAUUGACACUUCAAUCUUGUUGCUUUAAUGUCUUUUUCAAGCCAGCAGAUUGUAUGUAUGCAUCCAUAUGCACAAGAGAGGAAAUGAAAUAGAUGAGAGAGACACAAAAAAAGAGUCUUCAGCAGUAGGCUGUGUGUUAGAGUGUGUGUGUGUGUGUGUGUGUGUGUGUGUGUACGGUUGUAAAAGUGUGUGUGUGUGUGUGUGUGUGUGUGUGUGCGUUUGUGUGGUCUCUUGGGCUACAGUGUGUGUGUGGGAGUGUUAUUGAGAGAUAUUUUUAAUUCUGUGUGUCAGCUCCUCUCAUCUCCCUCAGCAAGAGACGUCGGAGGGAAGCAGAAAAACAUUUGCAACUAUCAUUUAAAUACACACACACACACUCCUGCACACGCACGCACUCACACACACACACACUAGUGCAAACACAUACAGUUUCAGAAGUCUUUCAUAUGGCACCAGUUGCGUUUUUGAAAGUUAAAAAAAAAGCCUGCCAGAUUGUCAGUGUUUUUUUUCUGAAUUUCCCCUCCAAGUGCUUGUGAGGGAAUUUUUACAUGAACAAGAUUAAAACAUGAAUGUGAUCCCGGAUGGAUACAUCUCCUCGUGAAUCCAAGUGAAUGCUAAAAUCUCCCUGUCAAGCUACACACACACACACACACACACACACACAAAAACCCACUUCAAUCUGAUACUGAAGGUGUUAAAAGAUUAAACAGACUAACUGUUCCUCACCGCCUAUAAAAAGAAAUCAACAACUGCUGUUUAGAAAGACAAGUAAGGUUUUUCAGUUCUUCUGACACCUCAGAGGCCCGGUGACUAAAUAAUGCUUCACCAUAUGGCAGAUGAUGGCAAUAAUAAUUCCCUGUGGAGCAGCCGUCAGCGGCCUAAUGACUUUCUUCCAUGCUAUUGCUUUUAGGUGCAUGUGAAACCGCAGCGGACUCCAAAGUAGGAUUAAGGUCAUCCUGGUGGAAUACGCUGCAGGAUUUCUCUCAAGUAGAAGCUCUCAUCAGCAGUGAAGAUAUCCAUCAUGAUGCUGUGGUCGGUUUGGCAUCAAAGUUGAUGUUUUCUCCCAGAAAAAGUUUGAUAUCCAGGGUGAAGUCCAGUGGUGGUCUAAACUGAUCUUCCACCAGUUCUGGAAGCGGUCCAGAGGUGCACGUGGAAAUGAAGGGAGUGGCAGGUGGACAGCAGAAUCAAUGCAGGAGCUGGAGAAACUCGCAGUGACCGUGAUCUGGGGUCAACUUCACAAUCAGCCUGACACAUCAAAUAUUCAGCAGCGCCUCGGUGCCACUCUGAAACCACUCGCACUGGAGACCGAGAGGAGGGAGAGCGAGGGACAUGAUCACAAAUACUCAUUAUCACCAGGAGCUAUGUGUUUCACACUUAACGCUGACACUUAUCCCCAGCAGAUUAUAGCUCCAUACAUCAAAUAUUAAAGCAGCGGUGUGAAUUAUUGAUUCCAAUCAAUGAUUGCAGAUCAGAGCUCUCAGCUGGCAGAGGAGGAACUAAUGAGUGCGUGCUACACAGGCAGCUGAGUAGAACUGUGGAGCCUCGGAUACACUGCUGCUGUACGGAGCUGCUGAGACAUUUAACCUUUAAUACAUUUAACCUGUGCUGACAAAUUUUAGGCUUGCAACCACAAGAUUUAAUUUAUGUACAAUGUAUUAGUGCAUUUGUGGUCAUCAGACCACAAGAGUCAGCUUGGAAGUCAGCCAGUCCUUGACUUAUUGAAAAUCUGUUUUUCUACAAAGACUGUAUUUAAAAGAUGGACAUGGACCUCAUGAUGUCAUGCACUGCUUCUGAAACUCAAUUUUGAGCCUUAAUGUUUGCAUUUUGGUUGCUGCUGUGUUGGUUUUUAGAGUCAGACAUGACCAUAUAUGGAAAAGAAUGUGGGGACACCAGCUAAGACUAGCAAGCUUGUUCGUAAUGGUGCAACACACAGAUACACACAUCUACCAAAAUGAAAACAACCCACUGUUAUCAUUCAGGUCACAUGCCCAUAUGUAUAUUGACUACUCAGUUUUGCACUUAAAGUUUGAAUAUCUUGAAUAUCUUAAGACUUUCUGUAACUUAUUUUUUCUUACUUUUAUUUCUAUUUUUUUUAUUGGUUUUUUUUUGUUGUUGUUUUUGUUUUUUUGUUUUUUUUGCAUGCACAAGGUGAAAUUCCUUGUUUGUGUAAAGAAACUUGGCCCAAAAAAGAUGAUUCUUGUUCUGGUAUUGUUCUUCAGACAAUCACAUUAAAAAA